Drosophila willistoni is the source of this 2091-nucleotide long non-coding RNA. RefSeq lists it as uncharacterized. The transcript has 6 exons. NCBI's taxonomy places the organism in Eukaryota, Metazoa, Arthropoda, Insecta, Diptera, Drosophilidae. The record is from RefSeq and is a predicted model, not a curated record.
UCAAAAGUAAAACGAGUCAAUCAGAAUUUAAAAUAAAAAUAAAGAGAUCCCCACGAACCAAAAUUUUAAGGAAACCUCCAGGAUCGAAUAUUCCCAAAUUUCUCGCUGGCUGAUUGGGAAACAUAAAUGUUAUUUAAGGUGGAUUGCAGUCAACUCAAAUCAUUCCCGAACUAUAAAUCGCCAAUUUCCUCGCCGCUUUCAAUGCUUUUAGCAAAAUGGGAAGAUCCAGAUAUUGUUGUUAGCUAAGCUCUGGUGGGUAUAGAAAUAUGGAACCGUUAUAAACCAUGAGUCGAACAUUCGCAGAAAAAUGGGAAUAUCCGAAUAUAAAUAAAUGUUUCUUAAGGUGGUGGGUAUUCGGAAAUAUGGAACGGUUAUGGAAAUAUGUAAAUUUAAAAAUCGCAUGCAUAAUGUUUUGAAAAAAAAAAAUAUACUUUGGACGACCUAAAAACCCGUUAAGCUUUAUAAUAAAUAGUAAAAGUCGUUACAAUCGGUCUAAUCCAUGAAAUUUCUAAUUUGUUUACAAUUAUAACUAACUGAAACAACUCAAGAUUUUAGUAAAAUUUAAAAAUUAAGUCAUCCACGUUCAUUUGUAAUCUUUUGAAUUACCGGGAUCUAAUUGAAAAAAAGACAAGGAUUUCUUGCCUUUCGUAAUAUUUUAUUCUUAACAACUGUGAAAUUAUUUAUAGUUACCUAAUUUACGCCGAAAGGAAGUGAAUUUCGGCAAUCGUAUAAAAUUUAAACUGUGAUUAAAUCCAAAAAGGCUAAAUCAAUAUUAAAAAUGCCUUAUAAUCGGGUCAGACGGUAAAUUCUUAAAUUUCCUUUUUUUUGGCAAAUUGUAACAGUUCCAAAUUGGUUUUCGGAAAUCGUACGAAAUUCAAACAAAGUGAAGAUUUUUCUAAUUAUUACUUUCACUACAUUAAUUUCAAACAAAUUUAAUCCCUAAAACUGAUAACCGUGAUUUAACCUAAAGAUGAUAUAAUAUAAUAACUACAAACUAGAUGGAAAUGGAUUUCGAGUGGUGUGUAAAACUAAAUUGGCGGUUCGGCUUCUGAUAAGUAAAGUAUGGAUGAUGAUGAAGAAAUAAAUUCUCUCGAUGGACUUAAACCGCAUGUAAAAUGAAUACAACUCUAUAAAACAAAUAUAGAUAGGUAUGUAGAUGAUAUGACAAUGAAUUGUUGCGGUUAGGUUAAAUGCGGAAACGGAAAGGGGUGAGCAGAGCUCGGCUCCCUCUUGUUCUUAUCCUUCCACCCACCCAACCAACCAACUCAAACCCACUCCAUCAAACGUGCUCAGGCUGACGCUUAGAGAGUGUCUUUGUGUACGUCUCUCUGUGUGUGUGUGUGUGUGUGGUUAUGCAUAACGGUUCAUUGCCUGGCUACUCCGUCUAAUCACUGUCAAAUGCAGGCGACGUUUACGCAUUCAAAAGCGAGACAAAAGGGCCAUUACCGUGCAGAAGCAUGAGAGUUGGAGUCGGAGAUGAAUGAAAGCCAGUGGACAGUGGGAGGAUAUACAUAUAUAUGUAUGUAUAUGUUAAAGGCUGGAAUCGGUAGCUGGGGCCCAUUCGACUGCUGUUAAUUCGAUUAAUUACAACAAUCAGCGGCAUGUUUCAUGUGGCAGCGACAGGGCCCAAGGCCCAGUGGCAGAAGGAGGAAGCCAGGCAGUCAGUCAGACAGGCACGCGGAUAGAGAAGCUUAACAAAUUGCCCAAAUGCUAAUGAUGCCUCUGAAGCUGCCGCCCAGUUCCUCACAAUCGAUGCCUAAUGACAAUGAUAGAUUUGCCCAAUAGCUGUCAUGUUUAGCCAAAAGAGUGGAACUUGCCGAAGAAAAAACAAAGGCACAAGAGAAAAAGGGAAAGAACAAACACAGAGCACAAAAACAAGGCGAAACAUAAUUGGAUAUAACAUUUAUACGCAAUCAUCGACAGAUUGCAAAACGAUUAACGACAACCCUCGUCGGUUUCCGGAUCCGGAUCCGGGUUUGGGUCUGAAUUCUCUUCUUGAUAAACUACAACCAGAACAAAUGCUGUUAUAAUCGACUGAACCAACUGCAUCUAUCAGUUUUGAUAAAAUUAUAGCACAUUUUUCCGAUAUAU